AACGUGGAGACAGGUGGUGCAUGGCUGUCGUCAGCUCGUGUCGUGAGAUGUUGGGUUAAGUCCCGCAACGAGCGCAACCCUCACCCCUUGUUGCCAUCAGGUCACGCUGGGCACUCUAGGGGAACUGCCCCGGUCAACGGGGAGGAAGGUGGGGACGACGUCAAGUCAUCAUGCCCCUUACGUCCUGGGCUACACACGUGCUACAAUGGCCGGUACAAAGGGAUGCAAGACCGUGAGGUGGAGCUAAACCCAAAAAGCCGGCCUAAGUUCAGAUUGGAGUCUGCAACUCGACUCCAUGAAGGAGGAAUCGCUAGUAAUCGCGCAUCAGCACGGCGCGGUGAAUACGUUCCCGGGCCUUGUACACACCGCCCGUCACACCACGAAAGCCUGCUGUACUCGAAGUCGCUGAG
RNAcentral lists this ribosomal RNA (410 nucleotides) under uncultured Methylomirabilota bacterium. RNAcentral's name for it is "bacterial SSU rRNA". It matches the Rfam family "Bacterial small subunit ribosomal RNA", at positions 1025 to 1434 of the family's 1533-position model. Lineage: Bacteria; Methylomirabilota (SeqCode). The record is from RNAcentral.